UAUGUGUGACAUUUAUUCUCCGUAAUAUUUUUCCAUGGCUCUGACUUGUGAGUCAUUUUUAUAAACCAAUGCCAAAUAUGAAUCCAUGUUUCUUACUUGGAAACCCUGAACAAACACCACUGCCAGGAGGCGCUCGCGUUGGCGUCGCUCAUCGACGACGAAAAGAAGCUUGUUGACUGUCAGUUCGACCUCUGGAAGCAGUACUACGUGACCGCAUGCAUCGCUGUGUUCGACAAUCUCCGACGCAGUCGCCGCUUGGACGCGGUCCAGAGCGGCUGCACCGCGCUGUCCAUAUUCAAAUAGGGGGACCUCAUGGUCAUCGCCAACGCUGGCGACUCUCGGGUUGUUCUGGGCACCGCAUCCGACAACGGCGCCGUCACACCGUCCAGCUCAUCAUCCACAUGAAGCUCAACCUCCCACGUAAGUCACUACUGACCGGCCAUGAAUUCUUGUGUGCUGGGACGACGGUCGUUGCUGACGUUGUGUGAGUGUCCUCGAACAAGAUUUAUGUAGAGGAGUAGCACAUCCGGUGGUGCAACGGCUAGGUGUACUACCUCGCUGAUGAGCCCGGGGUGCACUUCGUUUGGCAGCCCAACCAAGAGUCAUCGGUACUCGCCAAGUCGUGCACGUUCGACGACUACUAUAUCAAGGACUAUGACGUCAUCUUGGCACCAGAGGUGACACAGAGUAGGACCGACAACAAUGACCACUCGCCAUCGUCGAGGUAGCUUUUGUGCUGGCCUGCCUUUAAUUCUCUUCGCAAACACAUACACUUGCUUUUUUGUUUAAGCAAGCGUGCAUGGUGGUGCGUACCUGAUGACUGACAAUGUACGAGGGAACUUAUACCGGCAGGUGUGACACGUGCUCUUCAAUGAUGAGAUCAUGCAAAUCGUGACAUAUAUCGAAGUCUGCAUGAUACUGAUGGUUGCAAUGGAAUAGUGAAACAGCUAAAUUAAAAUAACAAAAAUUAUGUAUGGCUAGGAUUACAAAUGGAUUAUGAAAUAUUUUUUAUAACAAUAUAAGACACAUUUUAUAUAUAAGUUAUUAUGUUAUUAUAUGUUCCCGUUGCAACGCACGGGUACUCACAUAGUAAAGAAUUAUGAGGUAAAUAAAGUAAUAUAUGAGAUCUAGGUGUGGCCAUUUUCUACAUUCCUCCCUCAUAGUAUGAUUCUUACCGGCUUAUAGUGGCGGGAUUGUGUCUGACCACAUGACCCGUCGACUUCAGGGUGGAUCCAUUCCUCCGACGAGCAAUGCCACGGUUCCCCGAUGAUGUUCCCUCACGGAGAGGUUGCAGACAUGCACGGUGUAUACCAUCGACCACCCCCGCCCGCAUGCUGGGCGUAGAUCAAUGACAUAGUCGAAUCUCCGGUACGAUGCUCCCCUUCUCUCUCCCAGUUUUCGCUCGAGAACAACGUCAUCUAAUCUCUAUUGGUG
Molecule: long non-coding RNA, 1434 nt
Filed under: Zea mays
Lineage: Eukaryota; Viridiplantae; Streptophyta; Magnoliopsida; Poales; Poaceae
Description: long non-coding RNA (ZMAY_LNC003706)
Source: RNAcentral